AUUGAACGCUGGCGGCAUGCUUUACACAUGCAAGUCGAACGGCAGCGCGGGCUUCGGCCUGGCGGCGAGUGGCGAACGGGUGAGUAAUGCAUCUGAACGUGCCCAGUAGUGGGGUAUAGCCCGGCGAAAUCCGGAUUAAUACCGCAUACUACCUGCUGGUGAAAGCGGGGGACCGAAAGGCCUCGCGCUAUGUGGGCGGCCGAUGUCGGAUUAGCUAGUUGGUGGGGUAAAGGCUUACCAAGGCGACGAUCCGUAGCUGGUCUGAGAGGACGACCAGCCACCCUGGGACUGAGACACGGACCAGACUCCUACGGGAGGCAGCAGUGGGGAAUUUUGGACAAUGGGGGCAAACAUGAUCCAGCCAUGCCGAGUGCGGGAAGAAGGCCUUCGGGUUGUAAACCGCUUUUGUUCGGGAAGAAAUCCUCUGGGCUAAUACCCCGGGGGGAUGACGGUAACGGAAGAAUAAGCACCGGCUAACUACGUG
RNAcentral lists this ribosomal RNA (484 nucleotides) under uncultured bacterium. Its description in RNAcentral is "partial 16S ribosomal RNA". It matches the Rfam family "Bacterial small subunit ribosomal RNA", at positions 29 to 507 of the family's 1533-position model. The record is from RNAcentral.